Phascolarctos cinereus (koala) is the source of this 446-nucleotide non-coding RNA. The record is from RefSeq and is a predicted model, not a curated record. Lineage: Eukaryota; Metazoa; Chordata; Mammalia; Diprotodontia; Phascolarctidae.
GUCAGGCAAAGGCUGACAUUUUUAUGUGGAGAAAAAUCUCCAACUCCCACUUGGAACCAAGGUCAACAAAAGAAAACAAAAAAUAAAGGCAGCAGGGUCAGCCAUGUGACACCAGCCCAGGACACCAGGCUCUCCUGCAGGGUACUAUUUCCCAACAAAUGUGUUAUGGAAACCACAAUGAUGUGUAGAGGUAAUGAGCUGCCUCUCCCACUUUUGGCAACUCAUCAAGCAAACUGCUCUGUUCUCCACCUCCAAUCCCUACGCCUUCCAUCAGUACCUGGGUUAUUUCCACAUCACGGAAUCCUAGAAUGUAAAGGAAUGAAGGAACCUUAAACAUCAUCUAGUCAAACUCUCUCAUUUUUUGGAAGUUUCUUCUCUCGUGUUGAGCCACUUUUUUUCUUCCAGAUUUCUCUCCUUUCUUUCCAUUCUUAUUAAUAAAAUUUUCG